AUUGAACGCUGGCGGCAUGCUUUACACAUGCAAGUCGAACGGCAGCGCGGGCUUCGGCCUGGCGGCGAGUGGCGAACGGGUGAGUAAUACAUCGGAACGUGCCCAGUAGUGGGGGAUAGCUCGGCGAAAGCCGGAUUAAUACCGCAUACGACCUGAGGGUGAAAGCGGGGGAUCUUCGGACCUCGCGCUAUUGGAGCGGCCGAUGGCAGAUUAGCUAGUUGGUGGGGUAAAGGCCUACCAAGGCGACGAUCUGUAGCUGGUCUGAGAGGACGACCAGCCACACUGGGGCUGAGACGCGGCCCUGACUCCUACGGGAGGCCGCAGUGGGGAAUUUUGGACAAUGGGCGAAAGCCUGAUCCAGCAAGGGCGCGUGUGUGAUGAAGGCCUUCGGGUUGGAAAGCACUUUUGGCGGGAACGAAAAGGAUUGUGCCAAUACCACGGUUCGAUGACGGUACCCGCAGAAUAAGCACCGGCUAACUACGUG
This 484-nucleotide ribosomal RNA is filed under the name uncultured bacterium. RNAcentral's name for it is "partial 16S ribosomal RNA". It matches the Rfam family "Bacterial small subunit ribosomal RNA", at positions 28 to 507 of the family's 1533-position model. The record is from RNAcentral.